GAUGAACGCUGGCGGCGUGCCUAAUACAUGCAAGUCGAACGAGUUCUGAUUAUUGAAAGGUGCUUGCAUCUUGAUUUAAUUUUGAACGAGUGGCGGACGGGUGAGUAACACGUGGGUAACCUGCCCUUAAGUGGGGGAUAACAUUUGGAAACAGAUGCUAAUACCGCAUAAAUCCAAGAACCGCAUGGUUCUUGGCUGAAAGAUGGCGUAAGCUAUCGCUUUUGGAUGGACCCGCGGCGUAUUAGCUAGUUGGUGAGGUAACGGCUCACCAAGGCAAUGAUACGUAGCCGAACUGAGAGGUUGAUCGGCCACAUUGGGACUGAGACACGGCCCAAACUCCUACGGGAGGCAGCAGUAGGGAAUCUUCCACAAUGGACGCAAGUCUGAUGGAGCAACGCCGCGUGAGUGAAGAAGGCUUUCGGGUCGUAAAACUCUGUUGUUGGAGAAGAAUGGUCGGCAGAGUAACUGUUGUCGGCGUGACGGUAUCCAACCAGAAGGCCACGGCUAACUACGUGCCAGCAGCCGCGGUAAUACGUAGGUGGCAAGCGUUAUCCGGAUUUAUUGGGCGUAAAGCGAGCGCAGGCGGUUUUUUAAGUCUGAUGUGAAAGCCCUCGGCUUAACCGAGGAAGUGCAUCGGAAACUGGGAAACUUGAGUGCAGAAGAGGACAGUGGAACUCCAUGUGUAGCGGUGAAAUGCGUAGAUAUAUGGAAGAACACCAGUGGCGAAGGCGGCUGUCUGGUCUGUAACUGACGCUGAGGCUCGAAAGCAUGGGUAGCGAACAGG
Molecule: ribosomal RNA, 784 nt
Filed under: Lacticaseibacillus zeae
Lineage: Bacteria; Bacillati; Bacillota; Bacilli; Lactobacillales; Lactobacillaceae
Description: bacterial SSU rRNA
Rfam family: Bacterial small subunit ribosomal RNA
Source: RNAcentral